Sapajus apella (tufted capuchin) is the source of this 273-nucleotide long non-coding RNA. RefSeq lists it as uncharacterized. Lineage: Eukaryota; Metazoa; Chordata; Mammalia; Primates; Cebidae. The record is from RefSeq and is a predicted model, not a curated record. The transcript has 2 exons.
GAAACAGCAAGUAUGGCAGAUUUGUUACCUCAAACUCUGGGCUCUCCAUCUUACACAUUUUUCCUUUUAGCUCCAAAGUUGAACCUGAUGUUACCAUUUUCUUAUUUUCACUAAGGGUGCUUACACUUUAAAGUGUGGCUGAGAAAAGGUAAAACUCUUACUCACAAAUUCACAUGCUGUCUCUACAAUAAAUUCCCAACAAAAGCUUGUAAAUUACCUCUACAUCAGAAUUAAGCAUUCUACAAGAAGCCAAAAAUUAACGUAAACUAAAAA